This 75-nucleotide transfer RNA is filed under the name Chloroflexota bacterium. RNAcentral's name for it is "Chloroflexi bacterium tRNA-Thr". It matches the Rfam family "tRNA". From Rfam's summary of the family: Transfer RNA (tRNA) molecules are approximately 80 nucleotides in length. Their secondary structure includes four short double-helical elements and three loops (D, anti-codon, and T loops). The record is from RNAcentral. Lineage: Bacteria; Bacillati; Chloroflexota.
GCCGGAUUAGCUCAGUGGUAGAGCAAGUCCCUUGUAAGGAUUAGGUCAUCCGUUCGAAUCGGAUAUCCGGCUCCA